This 292-nucleotide long non-coding RNA is filed under the name Mus spicilegus (steppe mouse). RNAcentral describes it as "lncRNA (ENSMSIG00000029478.1)". The record is from RNAcentral. Lineage: Eukaryota; Metazoa; Chordata; Mammalia; Rodentia; Muridae.
GGAGGACAAUGUUUACUUCACGCCUGAUAAAAAUUCAUAUCAAGAAAAAGAUAAAAAGUAAAAGGCAUAAGACAGGAGGCUCUCUGUUGCUGCUGAUUGUCUCAGUCUUGCUGUCCUGCCCCCUCAGUCUAGCACUGGGCUUACAGGUGACCUGAUGGCUCAGAAUGGCUAGUCUAGUUUCGAUCACUGUGCUGAUAUUCAGAAAACAAGAAGGUGUAGCAAAUACAGAAGAGAGCAAAGUACAGCACAGGUACCCCUCAAUCAAAUAUAUAUAUUCUCAAAUAGUCAAUAU